This is a long non-coding RNA of Melitaea cinxia (Glanville fritillary), 191 nucleotides long. RefSeq lists it as uncharacterized. The transcript has 2 exons. The record is from RefSeq and is a predicted model, not a curated record. NCBI's taxonomy places the organism in Eukaryota, Metazoa, Arthropoda, Insecta, Lepidoptera, Nymphalidae.
CUUGAGAUUAGUACUAUUUUGCUGUAAUCUUGUGUAAGGUCGAGGCACUUCCCCAGUCGGGUUGCUUCAGAUUGUGAACAGGAUAUUUCCUGCUGUGCCUUACCUCAGUUUAACUCAGUUUACUUGAACUAAUAAAAACGACCUAUUGUGCAAUAUUUGAUUAAUAAAUAAACUUUAUUUUUUGGAACAAA